Molecule: ribosomal RNA, 1500 nt
Filed under: metagenome
Description: bacterial SSU rRNA
Rfam family: Bacterial small subunit ribosomal RNA
Source: RNAcentral
AGAGUUUGAUCAUGGCUCAGAUUGAACGCUGGCGGCAGGCCUAACACAUGCAAGUCGAACGGUAACAGGAAGCAGCUUGCUGCUUCGCUGACGAGUGGCGGACGGGUGAGUAAUGUCUGGGAAGCUGCCUGAUGGAGGGGGAUAACUACUGGAAACGGUAGCUAAUACCGCAUAAUGUCGCAAGACCAAAGAGGGGGACCUUCGGGCCUCUUGCCAUCGGAUGUGCCCAGAUGGGAUUAGCUUGUUGGUGGGGUAACGGCUCACCAAGGCGACGAUCCCUAGCUGGUCUGAGAGGAUGACCAGCCACACUGGAACUGAGACACGGUCCAGACUCCUACGGGAGGCAGCAGUGGGGAAUAUUGCACAAUGGGCGCAAGCCUGAUGCAGCCAUGCCGCGUGUAUGAAGAAGGCCUUCGGGUUGUAAAGUACUUUCAGCGGGGAGGAAGGGAGUAAAGUUAAUACCUUUGCUCAUUGACGUUACCCGCAGAAGAAGCACCGGCUAACUCCGUGCCAGCAGCCGCGGUAAUACGGAGGGUGCAAGCGUUAAUCGGAAUUACUGGGCGUAAAGCGCACGCAGGCGGUUUGUUAAGUCAGAUGUGAAAUCCCCGGGCUCAACCUGGGAACUGCAUCUGAUACUGGCAAGCUUGAGUCUCGUAGAGGGGGGUAGAAUUCCAGGCGUAGCGGUGAAAUGCGUAGAGAUCUGGAGGAAUACCGGUGGCGAAGGCGGCCCCCUGGACGAAGACUGACGCUCAGGUGCGAAAGCGUGGGGAGCAAACAGGAUUAGAUACCCUGGUAGUCCACGCCGUAAACGAUGUCGACUUGGAGGUUGUGCCCUUGAGGCGUGGCUUCCGGAGCUAACGCGUUAAGUCGACCGCCUGGGGAGUACGGCCGCAAGGUUAAAACUCAAAUGAAUUGACGGGGGCCCGCACAAGCGGUGGAGCAUGUGGUUUAAUUCGAUGCAACGCGAAGAACCUUACCUGGUCUUGACAUCCACGGAAGUUUUCAGAGAUGAGAAUGUGCCUUCGGGAACCGUGAGACAGGUGCUGCAUGGCUGUCGUCAGCUCGUGUUGUGAAAUGUUGGGUUAAGUCCCGCAACGAGCGCAACCCUUAUCCUUUGUUGCCAGCGGUCCGGCCGGGAACUCAAAGGAGACUGCCAGUGAUAAACUGGAGGAAGGUGGGGAUGACGUCAAGUCAUCAUGGCCCUUACGACCAGGGCUACACACGUGCUACAAUGGCGCAUACAAAGAGAAGCGACCUCGCGAGAGCAAGCGGACCUCAUAAAGUGCGUCGUAGUCCGGAUUGGAGUCUGCAACUCGACUCCAUGAAGUCGGAAUCGCUAGUAAUCGUGGAUCAGAAUGCCACGGUGAAUACGUUCCCGGGCCUUGUACACACCGCCCGUCACACCAUGGGAGUGGGUUGCAAAAGAAGUAGGUAGCUUAACCUUCGGGAGGGCGCUUACCACUUUGUGAUUCAUGACUGGGGUGAAGUCGCAACAAGGUA